GGCCGGGGGAGGACAGGGGAGAGGGAAAGAAAGGAGGGGGGAGGGCCGAGGGUGGGCAGCGGAAAUACCGCGGCAGGGGGACGGGAAGGGGACGCUGCUGGUAUGGAGGUUGUGGCUGGGAGAGCUGGCGUGGGGGCUUUGGAGGUCUCAGGGCCAGGACCAGGCGAGAAGGUACCGGUGGGGGUCGGGGCCCGGGCCGCAGGCCAAAGUUCUGCGGGCGCCGAGGGGAUGAGGGAGAAAGGAGGGCGGUAAAUGAACCAGGACCACGGCGGCCUGGGUCUGCGCACCUCUUGGUAGCGGCGGUGUGCAGUGCUGGUUGGAGGUGGGUGGCUCGCCGAGGUGGGUGCGGCCCUAGGAGCAGCAUUCACGCCCUGAGAAUCCGCAGCGGUGCAGUCGGUGGCCAGGACUCUAACCUGACAACCAAACGGGCGCCUGGGGGAGCUGUCCGCCCGUGGGUGCUGAUCAGCGCUAGUCGGAGCUGUUCCGCACUGGGUGCUGAUUGGAUCGACGAGGAUUUCUCCCUAAAACAUCCUAACCCUGGGACGGAAACAGCCAUUUCCCUGACGAGUGCAGAGUCUGCAGAGAGAUAUUGGUGGGCACGGAAAGAAGUUGAAGUUACCUUCAUUGAGGCAACCUAUGCUCUUGGCUCUGUUCCAAGUAUGGACAGCCUCCAGCCUGAAACUUGGGCUUGGUGAAUUGUUCUUUGGAGAAAGCAAAGGCAGAAAUGGAGCCAGUUGUAAAAGUGAGAGGGAAGAUCAAAGUUAAGAUGGGCAAACUAGAGAGGAAGAGGCAGGAAGCCUCUGUGAAGAAUUGGUCCAAGAUGGAAUUAUUUCUGGAGGAAGAAUGAGGCAUUAGCAUAUUAAGGCUGGAAAUCACAAGCAAAGGAGCUAAGAUUCUCAAAGAGGGAGACACCCUGCUCUGCCAGUUCCUUGAUUUAUGAACACUAACGAUGUGUGAUUCUCUCAAUUCUAGUGACUUCUCUGUGAAAAGCCUCCAGUAGUUCUCAGGAUUCAUCUAGAACUGUACAACUUUGAAGUCAUCUCAGAUUAUAACUACCAUGCCCUCCAUGAGCCUUUUUAUCCAAAAGCCUUCCUCUUAUCAGACAAUACCAGAUUCUAAAAAUCUAAACAGCAUGGGAGGAUUUUACCACCCAUUUUACCUGUGGAAGUUCACAUCUAAUCUCUAGAGCACAGGGUCUGAGAGAUUGUGGUACUGAUCUUUACCCACCAACUUUCUGAACGUAGGCCAAUUGUUCGAUGCAUCAGAACUUCGGUUUCUUUCUCUUUUUUAAAAUUUUAUUUAUUUAUUUAUUUAUUUAUUUAUUUACUUUUGCCCUUUUGAGACAGAAUCUCCCUAUAGCCACAGCUGGCCUGGAUUCACUAUGGAAACCAGGCUGGCCUUGAACUCACAGAGAUCAGCCUGUCUCUGCCUCCCAAGUGCUGAGAUUAAAGGCAUGCACCACCACACCCGGACCUUAAUUUUGUAUUUUCUUAUUUUUAUGUGUAUGAGUGUUUUGCCUGCAUGUAUAUAAGUGCACCUGUGUCAUGCAAUGCCCUCAGAGGCCAGAAGAGGAUUUUGGAUCCCCUGGAACUGGAGUUAUGGAUGGUUGUUAGCCACCAUGUGGGUGCUAGCAAACCCUAGUCCUCUGCAAAAGCAGCCAGUGCUACUACAUACUGAACCCACUUCUUGGAAUUAAUCCUCUGGUUUAUAUGCUGAGCCAUCUCUCCAGCCCCCAUUUUAGUUUUGUUUUUUGCGACAAGGUCUCUGGCUAGCCUGGAACUCACUAACUAGGCUGACCCCAAACUCACAAAGAUCCACCAACCUCUCCCUCCAGAGUACUGGAUUAAAGGUGUGUAUCACCAUAUCCAGCUAAGACCUCAGUUUUUUCAUCUGACAAUGAUGCUAUGAAAAUACCUGACACACAUAAAGCUCAAAACACAAUGAUUUAUGCAUGAUCACUUAAUGUGCACCCUUCCCCUGCUCGUCACACUUGGGCCCAGCUCCUCUGAAUACCUUAGGACCACUUUGUGCAGUCCAAGGAUGUUAGUGAAAGGGAAGAACCUCCUUCCUAAGGGAGUUUGUAUUUUUAGCAUCAUGAUCUUUCAAACUUUUUUAAAAAAUAUUUUAUUAUUUUAAUUGUGUGUGUAUGAGUGUAUUGCCUGCAUGUAUGUGAGUGCACCUGUGUCGUGCAAUGCCGCGGAGGUCAGAAGAGGGCUUCGGAUUCCCCUGGAACUGGAAUUAAGGACGGUUUGUAGCUGCCAUGUGGGUGCUGGGAAUCAAACCCGGGUCCUCUGCAAGGGCAGUCAGUUCUCUUAACUGCUGAGCCAUCUCUCCAGCCCCUUAAAACUUUUUAAAAUUUUUAUUUGUUAUUUUUAUUUUAUGUGUAUGCACAUAUUGCCUGCAUGUAGGUAAGUGCACCCGUGUCGUGCAAUGCCCAUGGAGGUCAGAAGAGGCUGUCAGAUCCCCUGGGACUGGAAUUACGGACAGUUAUUAGCUGCCAUGUGGGUGCUGGUAUUUGAACCCCGGUCUUCUGCAAGGACAACCAGUGUUCUUAACUGCUGAGCCAUCUCUCCAGCCCCAGUAUCAUAAAUUUUUAAUCAAACUUGUGUAUUUUCCUUAUAUUAGCCUCAGACCAUCACUUGAAAAAUGACAGAUCCAGGUCCACAGGGAACUGAGCAAUCCCUCUGGAAGUUCUUUCUUUCCUCUGAUUGUGAGCCCCAUGCAUUAUUGGUUUCUUACUGCCUGACUACCACUCUUGUUGUUAAGACUCCUUUCCCUCCUCCUAAAGUGGAUUUUUUAUUUAUUUAUUUUUUUCCUAUGGUCCACCAAUGGCAUUGACAAUUAGGCACAAAAUUGAUUGGGCUUAUAAGGGCCACAGCAGUACCAAAGAGGUCAGAGGAUAUUCUCUGGCAAAUUUCUCACAAAUUUGAAAAUAAACAAGUGCAAGCCUCCAGUCUUUUACUUCAUUCAUAGUGCACAGAAGCCACAAACAUAAAAUAAAAAUGCCCAUGAAUAAACCGAAAAUAACAUUAUUUAAUAAAGAUGAAGAGUGAGAGUUAUAUCUUGUCAGCAUUGCUGUCACGACCAUCACUUUACUACCUCCUGAAUCUUGAUUUCAAACAUCCAGUUCUCUAUGUUACCCUAUUUUUUUCUCUCUUGUUCUAUUACCAUGAUAUAAUUCUUUAACUCCAUAAUAACCAUGUUCCAGUUACCAUUUCUGUGUAAUAAAUGAUCCACAAAUUUAGUGGAUUAAAACCACCAUUUUAAAAUACAAAGAAUAAUAGUCUGCAGAGUGUGGGUCCUUGGACAGGACUCCUAUAUUAAAAUCUACCCACCCAGGGCUCAGGGAUCAUUGUGGAAGAGGAGUCAGAAAGAUUGUAAGUCCCAGAGAGGAGGUGCAUGACCAUAUGGAAAUAGUCCUACAGGCUCCUGGGACUCUUCUCGUACAAACCUAUAGCAAUGGUGUCAGCAUAUACAAGACCCAUACAAACUCAAGCAGACAAAAUCCAGCACAGAACUGUGGAAAUGAACAGCAGGCCCAAUCUUAGUCAAAGAAUUAUUGGCAGCUGAUUACUGCUGGGAGAGAAUGAGCUGAUCUUCUUAAAGGGAGGAGUUCUAGAUAGACUGACUAGAUCCCAGUGGAUGAAUUUGCACUGAGGGACAUCUGGGGACACUAACUUUACAUGAUAG
This 3690-nucleotide long non-coding RNA is filed under the name Nannospalax galili (Upper Galilee mountains blind mole rat). RNAcentral's name for it is "lncRNA (ENSNGAG00000024423.1)". The record is from RNAcentral. Lineage: Eukaryota; Metazoa; Chordata; Mammalia; Rodentia; Spalacidae.